RNAcentral lists this ribosomal RNA (483 nucleotides) under uncultured bacterium. Its description in RNAcentral is "partial 16S ribosomal RNA". It matches the Rfam family "Bacterial small subunit ribosomal RNA", at positions 30 to 507 of the family's 1533-position model. The record is from RNAcentral.
UUGAACGCUGGCGGAAUGCUUUACACAUGCAAGUCGAGCGGCAGCACGGGGGCAACCCUGGUGGCGAGCGGCGAACGGGUGAGUAAUACAUCGGAACAUGCCCAGUCGUGGGGGAUAACACUUCGAAAGAAGUGCUAAUACCGCAUACGUCCUGAGGGGGAAAGCGGGGGAUCGCAAGACCUCGCGCGAUUGGAGUGGCCGAUGUCAGAUUAGCUAGUUGGUGGGGUAAAGGCCUACCAAGGCAACGAUCUGUAGCUGGUCUGAGAGGAUGAUCAGCCACACUGGGACUGAGACGCGGCCCAGACUCCUACGGGAGGCAGCAGUGGGGAAUUUUGGACAAUGGGGGCAACCCCGAUCCAGCCAUUCCGCGUGAGUGAAGAAGGCCUUCGGGUUGUAAAGCUCUUUCGGCAGGAACGAAACGGUGAGCUCUAACAUAGCUUGCUAAUGACGGUACCUGAAGAAGAAGCACCGGCUAACUACGUG